Morus notabilis is the source of this 1587-nucleotide long non-coding RNA. RefSeq lists it as uncharacterized. Lineage: Eukaryota; Viridiplantae; Streptophyta; Magnoliopsida; Rosales; Moraceae. The record is from RefSeq and is a predicted model, not a curated record. The transcript is spliced from 4 exons.
ACACGUAAAUUAAAAAUAAUUCUAAUAUCAUAGUUUUAAUUCAUAAACCAAACGUCUCCUUAUCCUUAUUUAACGAAGAAAACGAGCAAAUUCUAUAUUUAUUUAUUUAUUUAUUUUUUGGUUGAUAAUUUUGUCCUAGGUGGCUUAUAUAAGUUGACCCAUAUUUCCUCACCCUUUGCUCCUCGUUUUCCUUGUGUUCUGCUUCUAAACCCAUCACAAUUCUUAACACCAAAAAUCCUGAACACCGUUCAAGCAAAAAAAAAAAAAAAAAAAAGAAAGUUCCUGAACACCACCAGCAAAAUCAUUCUCAAACCCAACAUCAAGCCCCAUCAGAAUUUUCAAACUCUUCACCACCAAAUCCAAACCUAAAACAAUGAAAAGUACCCUGUCCUUGUCGGCGAGCUCGGCGCCGUCAAACUCCUGCAUCAAUUUGGUACCGCCAAACCAAUUCGAACUCUUAACUCUCGCAGCCUUUGAUGAGACCAAUUUGGACGAAAUGAAAAUCACGUUUCCUUUUGCAAUUUCGUGCUUAUGCAGAGGACAACCCGAUCCGCUUCUGUGGGCAUGUUUUGAUGGCCGGAUAAGAGCUAUCCGGUCCAGUCGUUAAAAAAAUUGGACCAAACAUGGGAUUAAGAUCUCUAAUCCCAGUCCGGUCCUUUAUUCUUCCUAGUACCAUUUUCAACGUGUUAAUACUUGUUAAUCCGUACAUACCCACACCCAAAAAUAAAUAAAAGACAGUUUGUUACAAUGGAGGGAACGGGCUUGUUUCAGUCGGCAUUUGCUUCCAGAAUAAUAAGAAGAGCUGAGCAGACGGAUUCCGAGUUAGCGAGAAGUAAUUUUUAGUGUAUUUGGGAGAUCUGAGCAAACUGAUUCAGAGUUAACGAGAAGGAAUUGGAAGGAAAGGCAAGAUUGAUGUUCAGUAUCAUCAGCAACUAAAAACUGAGAAUCAGUCUGGUUUGGAUCAGAAUAUAGAAUUUUCGCAUGAAGAUCAAAUUGGGAAAGGAUUGGGAGGUGCUCUAAAGUUGCUUAAAGAGCGAGGAAUGAUUGAAAAAAACUGCUGAUCGCUGGACUGAAAGAAUUUACAAUGUUGGCAAGAAGAAGAGAAAAGUUGAUGAACAUUCUGAAACAAGUACAUCCUAUUUGAAAUCGGCCCAAUUGAAGGACGCUUUCCUACAUAUAUACUACGAGAACAAGGAGAUCCGCAUUGAUAAAUUUGAUGAAUUUGGUCGUCAGAUGACUCCUAGAGAAGGUUACAAAGAAUUCUGCUAUAAGUUCCAUGGAAUCUGACCCAGCAAAAAGUGAGAAGAAAAGCGUUUGAAGCAAAAUCAGCAGGAGUUGAAGAUGAAGCAAACUCAUCUACUGUGGAGCUGAUAGAAAAAUUACUAGCUGGGAUUUAUUCUGUUACUUAUGUAAAUAACUUGGAUAUCAUUUGUAGGGUUGCAAUGAACAAUUGAACUGCAAGGGCUUGAUCCCUUUCCAGGGUAUGUAGGCAGCUCAUCACUUUAUAAAUGAGUCCAGCCCCUUGUUAUUGUAAAAACCAUUUUUGUAUGAUGAAUAAAGAAACAUGAAAACAAAAGAGUUGAAUAA